UACGGAGGGUGCAAGCGUUAUCCGGAUUCACUGGGUUUAAAGGGUGCGUAGGAGGACAGGUAAGUCAGUGGUGAAAUCUCCGAGCUUAACUUGGAAACUGCCGUUGAUACUAUCUGCCUUGAAUAUUGUGGAGGUGAGCGGAAUAUGUCAUGUAGCGGUGAAAUGCUUAGAUAUGACAUGGAACACCAAUUGCGAAGGCAGCUCGCUACACAUAUAUUGACUCUGAGGCACGAAAGCGUGGGGAUCAAACAGG
Molecule: ribosomal RNA, 253 nt
Filed under: uncultured bacterium
Lineage: Bacteria
Description: partial 16S ribosomal RNA
Rfam family: Bacterial small subunit ribosomal RNA
Source: RNAcentral